This 498-nucleotide small RNA is filed under the name Microascus pyramidus. RNAcentral describes it as "eukaryotic LSU rRNA". The stretch from base 168 to 321 matches the Rfam family "5.8S ribosomal RNA". Lineage: Eukaryota; Fungi; Ascomycota; Sordariomycetes; Microascales; Microascaceae. The record is from RNAcentral.
UCUUCAUACCCUUUUGUGAACACUACCCCAUUGCCGCGCGUUGCCUCGGCGGGGAGGUCCGGGUGGGCCGCGCUCCGGCGCCCCCCCCGGGCCCCCGCCGGCCGCGCCGAACUCUUCAUUUGCAAAGCGGACUGUACGUUCUGAUUACAUCUUGAAAAACAAGUCAAAACUUUCAACAACGGAUCUCUUGGUUCUGGCAUCGAUGAAGAACGCAGCGAAAUGCGAUAAGUAAUGUGAAUUGCAGAAUUCAGUGAAUCAUCGAAUCUUUGAACGCACAUUGCGCCCGGCAGCAAUCUGCCGGGCAUGCCUGUCCGAGCGUCAUUUCUGCCCUCGAGCGCGGUUCGGCCCCUAGCGGGCCGGCCGCCGCCCGGUGUUGGGGCGGCUGCGGGCCCUCGUGCCCGCAGGCCCUGAAAUGAAGUGGCGGUCCCGCCGCGGCGCCCCCUGCGUAGUAGUAAAGCACCUCGCAUCGGGUCCCGGCGUAGGCCAGCCGUCGAACCU